AUGAAUUUGGUGGACAUCCUUAAUAUGUAAAUAUGAUGAGAAGUUGAGCAUGACAGAGCUUUUGUAAAUAUGAACAAAGUCAUUUUUAUGUUUUAUUCUUUAGAAGUUUGCACACAGAGAAACAUGAUGCUAGAGUUGGAGAACCUACCAUUGACAAGAACCACGUGAUUGGUCGAAAGUGAAGGAAAUUUCCUUUCUCAUGGCCGCACCUUUUUGUUGAUCCAAAU
This 227-nucleotide long non-coding RNA is filed under the name Vigna radiata. Its description in RNAcentral is "long non-coding RNA (VRAD_LNC009002)". The record is from RNAcentral. Lineage: Eukaryota; Viridiplantae; Streptophyta; Magnoliopsida; Fabales; Fabaceae.